This 494-nucleotide ribosomal RNA is filed under the name uncultured Actinomycetes bacterium. RNAcentral describes it as "bacterial SSU rRNA". It matches the Rfam family "Bacterial small subunit ribosomal RNA", at positions 378 to 885 of the family's 1533-position model. Lineage: Bacteria; Bacillati; Actinomycetota; Actinomycetes. The record is from RNAcentral.
CGANCCUGACGCAGCCACGCCGCGUGCGGGAUGAAGGCUCUAGGGUUGUAAACCGCUUUAGGCAGGGAAGAAAAUGACGGUACCUGCAGAAUAAGGUCCGGCCAACUACGUGCCAGCAGCCGCGGUAACACGUAGGGACCGAGCGUUGUCCGGAUUUAUUGGGCGUAAAGAGCUCGUAGGCGGUUCGGUAAGUCAGGUGUGAAAGCUCGAGGCUCAACCUCGAGAUGCCACCUGAUACUGCUGUGACUUGAGUCCGGUAGAGGAGUGUGGAAUUCCUGGUGUAGCGGUGAAAUGCGCAGAUAUCAGGAGGAACACCAAUUGCGAAGGCAGCACUCUGGGCCGGUACUGACGCUGAGGAGCGAAAGCGUGGGGAGCGAACAGGAUUAGAUACCCUGGUAGUCCACGCCGUAAACGUUGGGCACUAGGUGUGGGAUCGAACUAACCGAUUCCGUGCCGUAGCUAACGCAUUAAGUGCCCCGCCUGGGNNAGUACGG